GCGCUCGUAGCUCAGUUGGAUAGAGUACUUGACUACGAAUCAAGGGGCCACAGGUUCGAAUCCUGUCGGGCGCA
RNAcentral lists this transfer RNA (74 nucleotides) under Lutispora thermophila DSM 19022. It matches the Rfam family "tRNA". From Rfam's summary of the family: Transfer RNA (tRNA) molecules are approximately 80 nucleotides in length. Their secondary structure includes four short double-helical elements and three loops (D, anti-codon, and T loops). Further hydrogen bonds mediate the characteristic L-shaped molecular structure. tRNAs have two regions of fundamental functional importance: the anti-codon, which is responsible for specific mRNA codon recognition, and the 3' end, to which the tRNAs corresponding amino acid is attached (by aminoacyl-tRNA synthetases). tRNAs cope with the degeneracy of the genetic code in two manners: having more than one tRNA (with a specific anti-codon) for a particular amino acid; and 'wobble' base-pairing, i.e. permitting non-standard base-pairing at the 3rd anti-codon position. The record is from Rfam by way of RNAcentral. Lineage: Bacteria; Bacillati; Bacillota; Clostridia; Lutisporales; Lutisporaceae.